GAGGGUAUAGCUCAGUGGUAGAGUGUCUGCUUAGCAAGCACAAGGCCCUGGGUUCAAUCCCCAGUACCUCCA
Molecule: transfer RNA, 72 nt
Filed under: Camelus bactrianus (Bactrian camel)
Lineage: Eukaryota; Metazoa; Chordata; Mammalia; Artiodactyla; Camelidae
Also listed under: 2 other names
Rfam family: tRNA
About the family: Transfer RNA (tRNA) molecules are approximately 80 nucleotides in length. Their secondary structure includes four short double-helical elements and three loops (D, anti-codon, and T loops).
Source: Rfam by way of RNAcentral